CGCGGUAAUACGGAAGGUCCGGGCGUUAUCCGGAUUUAUUGGGUUUAAAGGGAGCGUAGGCCGGAGAUUAAGCGUGUUGUGAAAUGUAGUGGCUCAACCUCUGCACUGCAGCGCGAACUGGUCUUCUUGAGUACGCGCAACGUGGGCGGAAUUCGUGGUGUAGCAGUGAAAUGCUUAGAUAUCACGAAGAACUCCGAUUGCGAAGGCAGCUCACGGGAGCGCAACUGACGCUGAAGCUCGAAAGUGCGGGUAUCGAACAGGAUUAGAUACCCUGGUAGUCCGCACGGUAAACGAUGGAUGCCCGCUGUUGGCCUGAAUAGGUCAGCGGCCAAGCGAAAGCAUUAAGCAUCCCACCUGGGGAGUACGCCGGCAAUGGUGAAACUCAAAGGAAUUGACGGGGGCCCGCACAAGCGGAGGAACAUGUGGUUUAAUUCGAUGAUACGCGAGGAACCUUACCCGGGCUUGAAUUGCAGAGGAAGGAUUUGGAGACAAUGACGCCCUUCGGGGUCUCUGUGAAGGUGCUGCAUGGUUGUCGUCAGCUCGUGCCGUGAGGUGUCGGCUUAAGUGCCAUAACGAGCGCAACCCCUCUCCUCAGUUGCCAUCAGGUUAAGCUGGGCACUCUGGGGACACUGCCACCGUAAGGUGUGGGGAAGGUGGGGAUGACGUCAAAUCAGCACGGCCCUUACGUCCGGGGCUACACACGUGUUACAAUGGCAGGUACAGAGAGAGGGUCGUUCGCAAGUGCGAUCAAAUCCUUAAAGCCUGUCUCAGUUCGGACUGGGGUCUGCAACCCGACCCCACGAAGCUGGAUUCGCUAGUAAUCGCGCAUCAGCCAUG
This 837-nucleotide ribosomal RNA is filed under the name uncultured bacterium. Its description in RNAcentral is "bacterial SSU rRNA". It matches the Rfam family "Bacterial small subunit ribosomal RNA", at positions 516 to 1357 of the family's 1533-position model. The record is from RNAcentral.